AGAUUCUUGCACAACACAGUUUGACCUCCAAAACUGUGUCUCAGAUUUUUCCUAUUGUAUUUCAUUCUCUCAUAAAUCUACAAUGAAAUUUGCAACAAUAAUUCAAUUGGGUGUAAAAUUUGUUCUAUUGAUGUUUUUGGAAAUCUGAGACACAGUUUUGGAGGUCAAGCUGUGUUGUACCAGAAUCU
Molecule: small RNA, 188 nt
Filed under: Mytilus galloprovincialis (Mediterranean mussel)
Lineage: Eukaryota; Metazoa; Mollusca; Bivalvia; Mytilida; Mytilidae
Source: RNAcentral